CACUAUCGUUAACUGAAUACAUAGGUUAACGAGGCGAACCGGGGGAACUGAAACAUCUAAGUACCCCGAGGAAAAGAAAUCAACCGAGAUUCCCCCAGUAGCGGCGAGCGAACGGGGAGCAGCCCAGAGUCUGAAUCAGCUUGUGUGUUAGUGGAACGGUCUGGAAAGUCCGACGGUACAGGGUGAUAGUCCCGUACACCAAAAUGCACAGGCUGUGAACUCGAAGAGUAGGGCGGGACACGUGGUAUCCUGUCUGAAUAUGGGGGGACCAUCCUCCAAGGCUAAAUACUCCUGACUGACCGAUAGUGAACCAGUACCGUGAGGGAAAGGCGAAAAGAACCCCGGCGAGGGGAGUGAAAAAGAACCUGAAACCGUGUACGUACAAGCAGUGGGAGCACCUUCGGGUGUGACUGCGUACCUUUUGUAUAAUGGGUCAGCGACUUAUAUUCUGUAGCAAGGUUAACCGUAUAGGGGAGCCGCAGGGAAACCGAGUCUUAACUGGGCGUUAAGUUGCAGGGUAUAGACCCGAAACCCGGUGAUCUAGCCAUGGGCAGGUUGAAGGUUGGGUAACACUAACUGGAGGACCGAACCGACUAAUGUUGAAAAAUUAGCGGAUGACUUGUGGCUGGGGGUGAAAGGCCAAUCAAACCGGGAGAUAGCUGGUUCUCCCCGAAAGCUAUUUAGGUAGCGCCUCGUGAACUCAUCUUCGGGGGUAGAGCACUGUUUCGGCUAGGGGGUCAUCCCGACUUACCAACCCGAUGCAAACUACGAAUACCGAAGAAUGUUAUCACGGGAGACACACGGCGGGUGCUAACGUCCGUCGUGAAGAGGGAAACAACCCAGACCGCCAGCUAAGGUCCCAAAGUCAUGGUUAAGUGGGAAACGAUGUGGGAAGGCACAGACAGCCAGGAUGUUGGCUUAGAAGCAGCCAUCAUUUAAAGAAAGCGUAAUAGCUCACUGGUCGAGUCGGCCUGCGCGGAAGAUGUAACGGGGCUAAACCAUGCACCGAAGCUGCGGCAGCGACACUAUGUGUUGUUGGGUAGGGGAGCGUUCUGUAAGCCUGCGAAGGUGUGCUGUGAGGCAUGCUGGAGGUAUCAGAAGUGCGAAUGCUGACAUAAGUAACGAUAAAGCGGGUGAAAAGCCCGCUCGCCGGAAGACCAAGGGUUCCUGUCCAACGUUAAUCGGGGCAGGGUGAGUCGACCCCUAAGGCGAGGCCGAAAGGCGUAGUCGAUGGGAAACAGGUUAAUAUUCCUGUACUUGGUGUUACUGCGAAGGGGGGACGGAGAAGGCUAUGUUAGCCGGGCGACGGUUGUCCCGGUUUAAGCAUGUAGGCUGAUUGUCCAGGCAAAUCCGGAUAAUCAAGGCUGAGGUGUGAUGACGAGGCACUACGGUGCUGAAGUAACAAAUGCCCUGCUUCCAGGAAAAGCCUCUAAGCAUCAGGUAACAUUAAAUCGUACCCCAAACCGACACAGGUGGUCAGGUAGAGAAUACCAAGGCGCUUGAGAGAACUCGGGUGAAGGAACUAGGCAAAAUGGUGCCGUAACUUCGGGAGAAGGCACGCUGGUGUGUAGGUGAAGUCCCUGCGGAUGGAGCUGAGACCAGUCGAAGAUACCAGCUGGCUGCAACUGUUUAUUAAAAACACAGCACUGUGCAAACACGAAAGUGGACGUAUACGGUGUGACGCCUGCCCGGUGCCGGAAGGUUAAUUGAUGGGGUUAUCCGUAAGGAGAAGCUCUUGAUCGAAGCCCCGGUAAACGGCGGCCGUAACUAUAACGGUCCUAAGGUAGCGAAAUUCCUUGUCGGGU
RNAcentral lists this ribosomal RNA (1805 nucleotides) under human gut metagenome. RNAcentral describes it as "bacterial LSU rRNA". It matches the Rfam family "Bacterial large subunit ribosomal RNA", at positions 146 to 1977 of the family's 2925-position model. The record is from RNAcentral.